This 432-nucleotide ribosomal RNA is filed under the name uncultured Syntrophococcus sp. Its description in RNAcentral is "partial 16S ribosomal RNA". It matches the Rfam family "Bacterial small subunit ribosomal RNA", at positions 341 to 792 of the family's 1533-position model. The record is from RNAcentral. Lineage: Bacteria; Bacillati; Bacillota; Clostridia; Lachnospirales; Lachnospiraceae.
ACGGGAGGGCAGUGGGGGAUAUUGCACAAUGGGGGAAACCCUGAUGCAGCGACGCCGCGUGAGUGAAGAAGUAUUUCGGUAUGUAAAGCUCUUUAAGCUGGAAAGAUAAUGACGGUACCAGCAGAAUAAGCCCCGGCUAACUACGUGCCAGCAGCCGCGGUAAUACGUAGGGGGCAAGCGUUAUCCGGAUUUACUGGGUGUAAAGGGAGCGUAGACGGUAAAGCAAGUCUGAAGUGAAAUCAUAGGGCUCAACCCUGUAAUUGCUUUGGAAACUGUUUAACUAGAGUACCGGAGGGGCAGGCGGAAUUCCUGGUGUAGCGGUGAAAUGCGUAGAUAUCAGGAAGAACACCGGUGGCGAAGGCGGCCUGCUGGACGGUAACUGACGUUGAGGCUCGAAAGCGUGGGGAGCAAACAGGAUUAGAUACCCUGGUA